RNAcentral lists this long non-coding RNA (1150 nucleotides) under Lathyrus oleraceus (garden pea). RNAcentral's name for it is "Pisum sativum (pea) long non-coding RNA (PSAT_LNC021564)". Lineage: Eukaryota; Viridiplantae; Streptophyta; Magnoliopsida; Fabales; Fabaceae. The record is from RNAcentral.
UAUCAAGCCUUAACCUGCUGUAGACCAAAUCCGAAAAUCUGGAACAUACAUGAUUGAACUCUACUACUUGGGCAUGUACAACCAUUUCCAAUCAUUUUUGAAAAUGUAAGGCACAAGCCAUGUUGAACCAUUAGCAGAACAUCAAUUAGCGCAAGCUGCAAAACAUGUCGAAACCUAUAAAAUUUGGGCUAAGUGGUACCUAAAGCCUUUGGUCAAAAACGAAUCCAACAGCCCAUACCUUUAUUGUCUAUUUUCCAAGAAUUAUUACAUAAACCAACCCAAACUUAGGGUCCUAAACAACUAACUUAACUAGUCAUGUUCUAAAAUAAGUAAAUGAAUUCAUUGAGCCGUUAUCAUAAAUGGCAUGUGCAAAUAGGAGAAAACGGGCAUAUCAUCAUGAAUCGAUGGCCCUAUGCUUAUUGAUCGGCUUGGCUCCACUCCAAGUGUCUGCAGAAGUUAUCAACCAUGCCACAGGUUCUUCCAAAAGAUUCUGCAUAAGGUGCUUGUCACACCAGUCUCAUCACCAAUAUGCAAAUGGCCAACAUUCUGCAGACUCAAACAUUGCACAAUGAACCACACCAACUUCAACAUCCGCAGAGCAUUCUCCACGUCAAACUACAACGACUUUGACGCUUCAGGUCACAUGUCGUCACAAAAACGAGCCACACAUCCGAGAUCCUACAGAAAUGAAUAAAUAUGAUUGACAAGUAACCAAUGCAAUUGGAAAAUAUGGUCAACUAAUAUUCAGAGCAAAAUAGAUGUUAAUCAUGUUUUUAUAUGUUCACACCCCCAAGCAGCAAGGAUCAAUGCAACAAUUCAAGUUAAAACGUUAAAUCCUCAUAUCAGUAAAAACUAGAAUAGCCUUGACUAAAGGUUAAAUUUUACGUAAAGGUAAAAAUUAGACUCCUACCACAAUGAAUACUUGUUUUUACAGCAGUAGAAAGUCUGUGAAGAGGUUUUAAUAAAUAGCCACGCACCUUUUGGGGAAGACACCAUAAAAACAAUCCCGUCUUACCACUUCCUGUUGGGACCACACUAAAUCUGUGAAAGAUUUGUUCAUAGCGAUUUGAUGCUGGGAUCUAUUUGCCAGCUCACGAAAGAUAAGGACGUAUAAACCUCAUACGGGAACUCUAUAAAAGGGACCUCAAGU